AGUGAACGCUGGCGGUAGGCCUAACACAUGCAAGUCGAACGGCAGCACAGUAAGAGCUUGCUCUUACGGGUGGCGAGUGGCGGACGGGUGAGGAAUACAUCGGAAUCUACUUUUUCGUGGGGGAUAACGUAGGGAAACUUACGCUAAUACCGCAUACGACCUACGGGUGAAAGCAGGGGAUCUUCGGACCUUGCGCGAUUGAAUGAGCCGAUGUCGGAUUAGCUAGUUGGCGUGGUAAAGGCCCACCAAGGCGACGAUCCGUAGCUGGUCUGAGAGGAUGAUCAGCCACACUGGAACGGAGACACGGUCCAGACUCCUACGGGAGGCAGCAGUGGGGAAUAUUGGACAAUGGGCGCAAGCCUGGUCCAGCCAUACCGCGUGGGUGAAGAAGGCCUUCGGGUUGUAAAGCCCUUUUGUUGGGAAAGAAAAGCAGCAGGUUAAUACCCCGCUGUUCUGACGGUACCCAAAGAAUAAGCACCGGCUAACUUCGUG
RNAcentral lists this ribosomal RNA (492 nucleotides) under uncultured bacterium. Its description in RNAcentral is "partial 16S ribosomal RNA". It matches the Rfam family "Bacterial small subunit ribosomal RNA", at positions 29 to 507 of the family's 1533-position model. The record is from RNAcentral.